Molecule: ribosomal RNA, 481 nt
Filed under: uncultured bacterium
Lineage: Bacteria
Description: partial 16S ribosomal RNA
Rfam family: Bacterial small subunit ribosomal RNA
Source: RNAcentral
GAUGAACGCUGGCGGCGUGCUUAACACAUGCAAGUCGAACGAAGCAUUUAAGACAGAUUACUUCGGUUUGAGGUCUUUUAUGACUGAGUGGCGGACGGGUGAGUAACGCGUGGGUAACCUGCCUCAUACAGGGGGAUAGCAGCUGGAAACGGCUGGUAAUACCGCAUAAGCGCACAGUACCACAUGGUACAGUGUGAAAAACUCCGGUGGUAUGAGAUGGACCCGCGUCUGAUUAGCUUGUUGGCGGGGUAACGGCCCACCAAGGCGACGAUCAGUAGCCGACCUGAGAGGGUGACCGGCCACAUUGGGACUGAGACACGGCCCAGACUCCUACGGGAGGCAGCAGUGGGGAAUAUUGCACAAUGGAGGAAACUCUGAUGCAGCGACGCCGCGUGAGUGAAGAAGUAGUUCGCUAUGUAAAGCUCUAUCAGCAGGGAAGAUAGUGACGGUACCUGGCUAAGAAGCUCCGGCUAAAUACGUG